This 643-nucleotide ribosomal RNA is filed under the name uncultured fungus. RNAcentral's name for it is "eukaryotic LSU rRNA". The stretch from base 191 to 344 matches the Rfam family "5.8S ribosomal RNA". The record is from RNAcentral. Lineage: Eukaryota; Fungi.
UCCGUAGGUGAACCUGCGGAAGGAUCAUUCACAAUAAGUGUUUUAUGGCACUUUUUCAAUCCAUAUCCACCUUGUGUGCAAUGUUGUCUUGUAACGCGAAUGCUUGUCAUUUGCGCUACAGGAUGUAAACAUCAACUCUUAUUUUUAACAACUUUGUCUGAAAACCUGUAUGAAUACUUAAUUCAAAUACAACUUUCAACAACGGAUCUCUUGGCUCUCGCAUCGAUGAAGAACGCAGCGAAAUGCGAUACGUAAUGUGAAUUGCAGAAUUCAGUGAAUCAUCGAAUCUUUGAACGCACAUUGCACUCUCUGGUAUUCCGGAGAGUAUGCUUGUUUGAGUAUCAGUAAACACCUCAAGUCUCUUCUCUAGAGAAGAGAAUUGGACUUGAGCAAUCCCAACUCUUUGCAAAAAGAGGCGGGUUGCUUGAAAUGCAGGUGCAGCUGGACAUUCUUCUGAGCUAAAAGCAUAUUUAUUUAGUCCCGUCAAACGGAUUAUUACUUUUGCUCUAGCUAAUAUAAGGGUCGAAUGUACUAUACGCUGACUGAUGCAGGAUUACCAAGUUUUACCUAGUAAAACUUGUAAACUCGAUCUCAAAUCAAGUAAGACUACCCGCUGAACUUAAGCAUAUCAAUAAGCGGAGGA